GAUGAAGAACGCAGCGAAAUGCGAUACGUAAUGUGAAUUGCAGAAUUCAGUGAAUCAUCGAAUCUUUGAACGCAUAUUGCGCUCUCUGGUAUUCCGGAGAGCAUGCUUGUUUGAGUAUCAGUAAACACCUCAACUCCCUUUUCUUUUUUGAAAUGGGAGCUGGACUUGAUUGAUCCCAACGCUUUUCUCACCGGAAAGUGGCGGGUUACUUGAAAUGCAGGUGCAGCUGGACUUUUCUCUGAGCUAUAAGCAUAUCUAUUUAGUCUGCCUAAAAACAGAUUAUUACCUUUGCUGCAGCUAACAUAAAGGAGAUUAGUUCUUGUGCUGACUGAUGCAGGAUUCACAGAGACAGCUUCGGCUGACUUUGUAAACUCGAUCUCAAAUCAAGUAAGACUACCCGCUGAACUUAAGCAUAUCAAUAAGCGGAGGA
RNAcentral lists this unclassified non-coding RNA (430 nucleotides) under soil metagenome. RNAcentral's name for it is "partial contains 5.8S ribosomal RNA, internal transcribed spacer 2, and large subunit ribosomal RNA". The stretch from base 1 to 120 matches the Rfam family "5.8S ribosomal RNA", at positions 35 to 154 of the family's 154-position model. The record is from RNAcentral.